AUGAGUAACACAACUAUAUCUGUUUGUUCCUGGAAUGUACGAGGACUAGGUGAUGAAUCCAAAUGCGCCGAUGUCCUUUCUGAACUGAUCAGUAUCAAACCCCACUGCGCCCUCAUACAAGAAUCAAAUCUCAAUGAGAUCACCGAACAAAAAUUUAGGUCCUUCUUACCACGAUCUCUAGAUCAAAAAAUCGUCCAACCAGCAGACGGAUUGGCCGGAGGAACCAUCUCUGCUUUCAACAAAAACUACCUCUCCCUAAUCUCUCACUCCAACCACCGUUUUGCCACAUCCAGUACACUCAAAUCACUCGCCCACACCCUUCCCUUUGUUAUCACAAACGUAUAUGCACCCUCAAACCGCAACCACAAGCAAGACUUCCUCGACGAACUCAGACGCAUCCAAGAAAAUGACCAAAUUCUGUGGCUCAUUGUAGGCUUCUUUAACCAAAUCCGCUUUCCUAGUGAAAAAAAUAACCGUAAUUUUCACCAACGCGAAGCUGAUGCUUUUAACUCUAUGAUCAACGACCUCACGUUAAUCGAACUACCACUGCUUGAUAGACGAUUCACUUGGUCUAACAAAAGAGCAAACCCAACCCUAGAAAGACUUGACAGAGCUUUUAUCAACUUAGCUUGGAACAAUUGCUUCCCUAACACAACUCUGACAUCGCGUCCACGUAUCACAUCCGAUCACGUCCCCCUAAUUAUAAAC
RNAcentral lists this ribosomal RNA (708 nucleotides) under Triticum aestivum (bread wheat). RNAcentral's name for it is "partial small subunit ribosomal RNA". Lineage: Eukaryota; Viridiplantae; Streptophyta; Magnoliopsida; Poales; Poaceae. The record is from RNAcentral.